CAAAACAAUAGCGUGCACAACAACAGCCAACUGCUCUAUAGAUGGUUAUGCUUGCUGCUUUGAUUGUACUAUAUAAUAGGUGUGAUCGCCGUACUGUUCUGGACUUUGCAGUGCUGCAUCUUCAUACCGCAUCUAACAUAGCCCGAACACAUCCAGGUCGCAGUUUAUCGAUGUAGUUUUGUUCAAUAUUCUUCGUUCAUAGUAGUUACAUCAAGGCGGAUCAUCCAACGCCACCACCACCAACUAUCGAAAGGACAGGAUCGCAGCACCCACUGGCGUUUCUUGCGUUCUCUUUGGCAUAUCAGCGCGCAGAUAUUUGUGCAGCACUCAUGCUGCGAGACGAAACGAAGCACUUUAUAAUAUUAGUGCGAGUGAUUUUUUAUGAUCAUGACUGCAUUUCUUAGAUUUCCCAUCUGUGCACCCAUCCGACGCUGCAGUCGAAGGGGGGGGGGGGGUGAUACAGCUUUCCCACCGAGUGGGGUGGCGGUGGAUUAUGCGAUGUUAGAAUUGUAUUUUGGAUAGGGUGCCGGUGCCAUUAGUGGACUACCUAAGCUAUAAAAAAUCAUAACAAAAUAACGAAAAGCCUUAGCA
Molecule: long non-coding RNA, 591 nt
Organism: Aedes aegypti (yellow fever mosquito)
Lineage: Eukaryota; Metazoa; Arthropoda; Insecta; Diptera; Culicidae
Exons: 3
Source: RefSeq, a predicted model, not a curated record